CCUGGGUGACAGAGCGAGACUCCAUCUCAAAAAAAAAGAAAAAGAAAUAAGGAGUAUAAACAAUUAUUGGAAACUGGAAGAGCUGUCUGUGGUGAAGGAUACAAUGAGAGAGGGGAAGGGGAUGAAAAUAACUAAAUGAAAUAACUUAGAUUGCAUUGUCCCCAGCAGAAUGACAACUAAACAGAUGAGGAUUUGUCUGAAGAGCAAUCGUGGGGAGAUGCCACAAGUGGGGUGGGGGAGAUUCCACUUCAGUUCCUGGGUAGGUGGAUGUAUGCCCUCACUUACAUUGUGCAGAACCAUAAUUCUGAGAUUCUGUAGAGUGUCUGAUGAAUGAUAAGGUGAUCUUUUUCUAAUGGAAAGUAACAGCAUUAAGCCCAGGCAAGCGCAUGCCGUCCUAGCUCAUGGUUAUAGAUGACAUACCAAAUAACCCACCCACCACAUUUCAUCUAAUUCACUCAGACAACCUUCUCAGGGAGAGAGCUCCCAGAGGUCACCAAGGCUGUACUGGACAAAAGUAAACUGUGGACGAAGAGGCUUGGAACUUUCUGGCUUCCCUUGUUUGAAGGCAGUGGAAGAUGUUAGGCAGCUUGAGCACUCAGGGGGAAGGGGGAACUGGAGUAGGCAGACAAAAAGGGAGGUAAACACAAAGGGGGAACUUUCUUCUCUGUACUACUCAAAACGGGGACUCUGAUCCCACUGGUUCAGAAGAUCUAGGGUACCUGAUGGGUUCUGGAAUUCCUGGUUGGAUGAAGGACUGUAGGCGCAGAGCCUUGAUGCGAGAAGGCAUCAAGACAUCGGGCCAUUAAACAGGUAGGGUAUGGAGAGGACCCAGGGACAGAACUCAAACCUUCCAUCUGGGGCAUCAUCGGGGAAAGAUACUGUUCCACAGUGUUAAAACUCAAAGACCACUGCAAAGUGGGAGAAAAACAGAAUUCUGAGGCUGGAAUAGACAAGGCAGAAGAAUUCAAUGCUGUGCCACAUUCCAGUUAAACAAAUUCUGACCUCACAAAAGGAAAUCAAGAUCUAGGUUCCAAGUGUGAAGAAAAGGCUUCCCUGGGGUUGGUGUGUGCUAGCCAGGAGAUCAGUAUGGUGGGUCUUGUGGGGUGUGAGAACUGGCAAGGGGAACCCCAUCUCAGAUGACAGCACACAGAAACUGGCUUGGAGACCUCCUUCAGGCACAUACCUGCUGCACAAAGAUCACCAGACAGUAGGAGUGGAGACAGGAAAAGACAUUUGCAUCUCAGGGUUGGAGACAGAAGAGGGGGUUGUUUGUUGAUAUUUCCUGCUCUAGCUCUCCUGUUCUUGAACCAAAUUGGAAGAACUCAAGGACUAUGAUGUUGGAUUCACCCAGGGAUCCAUGGAAUCAAAGGUGUUAAUGGGGUUGUCAUGAUGGGCAUCCAUGGACAAGUUUUCCACAGAGAAUUCCACAUGUCUCCACUCCCCGGGCAGUGUUGGCACUGGCUAACUGGAGAAACUGUGGGCACAGCCGCCCAGGCACCACCACAUGGCGCAAUCCAUCGAUUGUGGGAACUGUAAAGGAGAAAGGAGAAUAGUCUGCGACCACUGAGCCCUGCCUCCUCAAGCAGACCUCACAGCCAGCAGCCCUGGAGGAGCAACAUUAAGCCACUGGGAUUCCCCCAACUUCAGGCAGAUCUGGUACUCAGAUGCAGAGACUACUACUUUUAUCUUGAAGUCAGUCUGUGCUGCUCUGAAGCUUUUAGAUGGGCAACAAUGAAAGUGAAGACCCACCUUUACUGUGUCUUUCUUUUCAGGAAUGACAGCAGAUUUGUAAUCUCGAUGUUUUGGUAGUUUCUCAAUAAAGAGCCUAAGGAAACAGUU
RNAcentral lists this long non-coding RNA (1839 nucleotides) under Homo sapiens (human). RNAcentral's name for it is "HSALNT0303575". Lineage: Eukaryota; Metazoa; Chordata; Mammalia; Primates; Hominidae. The record is from RNAcentral.